UGGGGAAUAUUCCGCAAUGGGCGCAAGCCUGACGGAGCAACGCCGCGUGAAUGAAGAAGGUCUUCGGAUUGUAAAGUUCUGUCAUUAGGGACGAAGGACUCAUGCGAAUAGUGUGAGGAAUGACGGUACCUAAGGAGGAAGCUCCGGCUAACUACGUGCCAGCAGCCGCGGUAAUACGUAGGGAGCAAGCGUUGUCCGGAAUUACUGGGCGUAAAGGGCGCGUAGGCGGACGCAUAAGUCAGAUGUGAAAUCUCCGGGCUCAACUUGGAGCGUGCAUUUGAAACUGUGUGUCUUGAGGGCAGGAGAGGAAAGUGGAAUUCCUAGUGUAGCGGUGAAAUGCGUAGAUAUUAGGAGGAACACCAGUGGCGAAGGCGACUUUCUGGACUGAACCUGACGCUGAGGCGCGAAAGCAUGGGUAGCGAACGGG
RNAcentral lists this ribosomal RNA (427 nucleotides) under uncultured bacterium. Its description in RNAcentral is "bacterial SSU rRNA". It matches the Rfam family "Bacterial small subunit ribosomal RNA", at positions 355 to 776 of the family's 1533-position model. The record is from RNAcentral.